UCUCCCCAGUACCUGAGAGAAAAGAGAUGCUACUUCUCUGCAGAAAGAGAUGUUCUUGCAAGAGGGGGGGGGAGAGGGAGUGAGAAAGAGAUCCCGCACACAUACACCCAAUGGGUGCCUCCUUGUGUCAGUUAUGUGUGUGUGUGUGUAUGCGUAUGUGCACUUGGCUCCUGAGGAUCUUGAGGUGAGGGAGGUUGCUUGGCAGUGCCUCUCAUGCUUGUCGUGUCAGUUAUGAAUGUGUGUGUGUGGCCACGUGUUGCUUGGCUCCUCACAACACAACAGAUGCUUGUUUUUCCCCCCUCGGGCAGGAGGGGGGCAGGGCCAGGGCAGUCAUUUUUGCACACGGGCUGUAGCAUCUUUUACCUUUUUUGGGUUUUUAAGUCCUUUCUGCUUUUUUGUGUUUUUGUGAGGGAUGGUCACUUGUUGGAUUGAUAGGUGUAUUGUGUCUAAAUUUCUUAUCAAUUCAUCCAGAGGUUUUUGAGUUAUGUUUCUACCACAAACGAACAUCUUUAUAUAGAGAGAUUUACUAGGAGGAGGAGGCAGCAGCACAAGGCGAUAAGCAGAAUUCUGGGAAAUGAAGUUUGGGAAGGUGAGGACUCCUGUAACAGAGAAUUCAAAAGGCUGUGCCCUAAACUACAUUUUUCAGAAUUCUGCUCACUUCCCGCAUUAAAGCCUCAAUGUGAGUGUGAUCUCUGCCUCUUUCUCUGGGCCAGCCAUGUGCGGAGGGGUUUCUUCCUUGUCUGGCCAGACAGCCAGGCAUCCCUCUCCCCCUUGCUGCCUCCUUUGGGGGAAAAAGCAGAACUACUUCCUUCACUCCAGCCUCAUCUUCCUCCUCAGGGCCCUUUAGAGGGAACCAAACCCAUCCCUUUUGGGGGAGAAAGAUCUCGAGCCAUUUACAAGACUUACACAACUCAUCUGAAAAUCAUAGAGAACCCUGAUGCUGCAAAAGAUGACAAACCUCAGGAUUACAUAGGAUGGAACUAUGACAGUUAAAGUGGUGCCAAAGUGCUAGAAUUCUGCAGCAUGAAUGAGAAUCCUCUAUCUGAUUCUCCCCCCCCCCUUUUUUUCUGUAUAUGUUUGAGUAAGCAACUACAUUGAUUAUACAGGUUUGAUCAACUUAAGUCCUUGUGCAUGGUCUUUUGCAGUGAAAUCAAUACAAGAAAUGCCUUUAAAGGCAUUUAAAAGUUUUUAGUUGGAUGGCAACAUAUGGCAACAUAUGGCAUAUGAACUUCCUUUGUAUGGGGAAAGUAUUAUUUUUAAGAAACCUGAUUGCAGCCUGGAAAUUUAUUUUUGAUCUAUAGCACUGCAAAGCUCUGCAUAUUGAAGAUUAAAUUAACCAUUAAAUUAACACAGGCAGAAGCAAUAUCAUUUUUAUUUGAGAUGGUUACAUCAAAAUUCUUCACUUUUUUCCCAAAAGUUCCCUUUGUGCCUCUAUUGCAGUUGUAGUUCAGCCAAAUUAUUCUAUAAUUCAAAGGCCUUUGCUACCUCCUGUUAAAUAAUUCUUCAAAUUUCAUGUUAAACGAGGAUCUGCCAGGAAAGAAAAAAAAAACCAGAUGAAUAAAAAAUAGAUUCUUGGCUGCUUCAAAUCAGACCAAUUUUAUAUUUGUAACAGAUCUCCCCACUCCAAAACAAAGUACAUUUCUCUUCAUAUCAAUAAAGCUGAGCAGAGAAUAUUUGUAUUUCUUAGUAAAGCUUUCAAUUACCACUUCCCAUCUGUCACAGGAUGCAUUUGAGUUCAGCUAUGGGCUCUGAAUGAUAUAAUUUUCGAGUUUAGAUAUUACAUUGGAAGUAUUCUAGUUUCCCUGGCUAGGGAAGGUACAGGACUGAGGUGGAUAAGACUUCAAACCCAUCCUCAACAGCACUUACAUAGUAGGUGGGGAAGGCUAUUUCAUUAGGUAGAGGAGGAGUGGGUCUUGCAUUUACAAACUUGCCUCCAAGCUAAACAUGUAAUGCAAACAAUGACGAAACAUAGCAAACAUCAUGGAACAUGGAAACCAUGGCUGAUAUGUCUGAGAGUUCAUAAUCAUAUGAACAAACCACGUUUCUCUCUGCAACAGAAAAAGGUUGCUUUUUUGGACUACAAUAAUCCUCCAAUGGCUAGGCUGGUUGGUGAAUUCUGGAAGUUGUAGUCCAAAAGCAAUUUUUCCAGGCACUGUUGCAUAGUGGGACCAAGUUUCUUGCCCUCUUCAUAACAUCCUUGUUAUUCAUUCCACACUGUAGGUCUGAACUGGGAGUAAUAUAAGUUUCUAAAUCAUUGGG
Molecule: long non-coding RNA, 2259 nt
Filed under: Anolis carolinensis (green anole)
Lineage: Eukaryota; Metazoa; Chordata; Lepidosauria; Squamata; Anolidae
Description: lncRNA (ENSACAG00000032970.2)
Source: RNAcentral